AAGUCUUUACGGAGAAAGCUUUAUGCACCAUUGGAUGAGCCUGCACUUGAUUAGUUUGUUGGUGGGGUAAUGGCCUACCAAGACUGUGAUCAAUAGCUGAUUUGAGAGGAUGAUCAGCCACAUUGGGACUGAGACACGGCCCAAACUCCUACGGGAGGCAGCAGUGGGGAAUCUUGCACAAUGGAGGAAACUCUGAUGCAGCGAUGCCGCGUGAGUGAAGAAGGCCCUUGGGUUGUAAAGCUCUUUCGUCGGGGAAGAAAAUGAC
This 265-nucleotide ribosomal RNA is filed under the name uncultured bacterium. RNAcentral describes it as "partial 16S ribosomal RNA". It matches the Rfam family "Bacterial small subunit ribosomal RNA", at positions 189 to 455 of the family's 1533-position model. The record is from RNAcentral.